UGGCACUAUAGUGCCCUGAGGGUGCCCCCACCCUCAGGGUCCCCCUCCCGCCCGGCUCUGGAAGGGGGAAAGGGGUAAAAUCUUACCUUUUUCCAGCGCUGGGCGGAGAGCUCUCCUCCUCCUCUCCGCCUCCGUUACGCCCCGCCGGCUGAAUGCGCACGCGCGGCAAGAGCUGCGCGCGCAUUCAGCCGGUCUCAUAGGAAAGCAUUUACAAUGCUU
This is a non-coding RNA of Pelobates cultripes (western spadefoot toad), 219 nucleotides long. The record is from the annotation of a GenBank genome assembly. NCBI's taxonomy places the organism in Eukaryota, Metazoa, Chordata, Amphibia, Anura, Pelobatidae.